Molecule: long non-coding RNA, 209 nt
Organism: Vanessa tameamea
Lineage: Eukaryota; Metazoa; Arthropoda; Insecta; Lepidoptera; Nymphalidae
Exons: 3
Source: RefSeq, a predicted model, not a curated record
CCUAUGCUAAUUGUGGCCGCGCCGCACGAAACGUACGAAGAGAGUGUAGUGCGACGAAUACCUAUUUUAAAUCCUUAUGGGUCGGAAAGGCUCCGUGUACAGAUGCAUUAGAAAGCGAAGAUAUACAACUGCUUUAAGAAAAGCAAAUGAAGCAAGGAAAAAUCAGAAAACCGCCAAUUCAUGUUCUGUUUCGGUAGAUACGGAAAACG